RNAcentral lists this unclassified non-coding RNA (322 nucleotides) under Zea mays. RNAcentral describes it as "misc RNA Zm00001eb080630". The record is from RNAcentral. Lineage: Eukaryota; Viridiplantae; Streptophyta; Magnoliopsida; Poales; Poaceae.
CCGGUGGCGGGCGGGAGGUCGAGGCGGCAGAGCCGAGGCAUGGCCAUCACGCGCGUCAUGUUGACGGCGACGGGGGCCGUGCUGGGGUUGCUGAGAGCCUGGCAGAGGCACUGCGGCUCGUCGUGCACCAUGCUGCCAAGGUUGGCGCAGCAGGUGUCCGCCGGCACGGUGGCGGUGCCCUCGAUGAAGGGCAGGCAGGGGAGGAGGCGGAGGAGGUCAGUGCUGCAGGUGGACGACGUGCCGGCCUGGGGCGGCACCGCAUGGACGGCAGCGACGGAAGCCAGCAGCAGCAGCAGCGCGACGUAGAACGCAGGAGCCGACG